This 496-nucleotide ribosomal RNA is filed under the name uncultured Burkholderiales bacterium. RNAcentral describes it as "bacterial SSU rRNA". It matches the Rfam family "Bacterial small subunit ribosomal RNA", at positions 8 to 500 of the family's 1533-position model. The record is from RNAcentral. Lineage: Bacteria; Pseudomonadati; Pseudomonadota; Betaproteobacteria; Burkholderiales.
AGGCUUUGAUCCUGGCUCAGAUUGAACGCUAGCGGCAUGCCUUACACAUGCAAGUCGAACGGCAGCGGGCUCUUCGGAGCGCCGGCGAGUGGCGAACGGGUGAGUAAUACAUCGGAACGUACCCAGUAGCGGGGGAUAGCCCGGCGAAAGCCGGAUUAAUACCGCAUACGCCCUACGGGGGAAAGGGGGGGAUCGCAAGACCUCUCACUAUUGGAGCGGCCGAUGGCUGAUUAGCUAGUUGGUGGGGUAAAGGCCUACCAAGGCGACGAUCAGUAGCUGGUCUGAGAGGACGACCAGCCACACUGGGACUGAGACACGGCCCAGACUCCUACGGGAGGCAGCAGUGGGGAAUUUUGGACAAUGGGCGAAAGCUGAUCCAGCAAUGCCGCGUGUGCGAAGAAGGCCUUCGGGUUGUAAAGCACUUUUGUCAGGAAAGAAAUUGUCUGGGCUAAUACCCCGGGCCGUUGACGGUACCUGAAGAAUAAGCACCGGCUAA